Molecule: long non-coding RNA, 1716 nt
Filed under: Triticum aestivum (bread wheat)
Lineage: Eukaryota; Viridiplantae; Streptophyta; Magnoliopsida; Poales; Poaceae
Description: long non-coding RNA (TAES_LNC019070)
Source: RNAcentral
UGGUGAACUUGGAUUGGUCAUGCAGAUAUAGUUGUUAGAGAAAUAAGAAGAUGAUGUAGAGUGAUUUAUGGGUAAGUAAUAUAGCGAAUAGAUUUGCACGGGAAGUCAAGUAUAUGCCGAGACUCGAGCAGGUUCAUUGUUAUUGUUGUUCUUGCGUGUCAAAGCUUUUGGCUAGAUCUGUAGGUAUACAUAUGAGUCGAUGCUUAAUUUUUGUCACGUUUCUUACUUACCACUAUUAUUUCUAGCAGACCUAACCUGAUAUAGUAGUUAAUUUUGGCACUAGACACAACAACUUUGACAUUGAUAAUUUCCUCAUAUUUUUAGUAGGACAAUAAACUUGUCUAGCAUUUCAUAGUUGCAGGCUCUGAAAACAAAUGUAUCUGCCCCCUAAAUGAUUAAACGUGUGGUUUCUGAAUUAUGCAUGCUGACAUGCAUUGGUAAUCAUUAUUCAACGGUAUUCCUUUUCACUGAAAUAAGAACCAUGUAAUGCUUAUGAUUUAAUCUGGUUAUCUAGACAACUAAAUGGGUUAAUGUUAUGCUUAGUAUCUUUUGGCAAAUGUAAUGCAGGGAAGUAAACCACUGUCUUUUGAUAGGGAUUUCUGGAGGUAACAUGCCUCUGAUUGUAUGCACUGAAUUUCAGAUGCUAUCUUGCAUACGACUGAGCAGUCUCGGAUAUACUUCAACCCAGACAUCAACGCAACAAAUAACUUGAUUAUAAGGUACAAUCAUGAUUACCAAUGCCUAGCUAUUUUUUGAUCUUGACUAACACAAAGGGUAUAAUGUGUAGUUUCAGGGAGCCGUGUAGUUUCAUGGAGCCCCGUCGCUUUCUCAUAGAAUUUGUUCAGAUAUAAAUUUGCCUAUUGCCAACAAUACAUGAUAUUAUAAUUAUAAUAUUGCAGGAACAAAUGUCAUGCGAAGCAAAUAAUUUCCUUAGAAAAAAGUAAGCUCCGUUUGCACUAUUAAUUAGCUUCCUGAGUUAUUUUGCUCGACAAGAGAAAUGGACUUGUUUUUUCUAUAGCGUAAUUGAAUAGUAAGAGUCUCUCCUACUUUCACCGCUAAGAAAACAAAUAUAAACCUACAUACGGACAUGCACCUCAAUCUCUUGUUUCGAAGUUAAACUGUUUGUAGAUACUUUUUGAUGUACCUUUCGAACCCAUGAACUUAAUGUUGUGCUUGUAGUGUUGGUUCUGGGUUUAGAAUCAAUAAAUAUGUGGAUUGAUGUCCCACCAACCAAAAACCAGAAUUUCUUCUUUGAUAUUCUGCUGGUUUAGAAAAUGUACAUUCUGGUUGGGGAUUUCCAUCGAGAGUGAAUGUAUAAUCCAGCCAACCAACCCAAGAUGUGUUUACCAACACCAUCACGAUGAUCUUUCUCAGCCUUCUCGGCCCAAUCAGUCUUCUAAUAUUCAUCUCAUGGUAGGCAUGCUCUGCAAAAAUGCAGCAACGGCAUUUUUUUGUCAUGUAUGUUAAACUUGUGCUAUGAACUGUUAGCAUAUUGGCCCUCCUUUGCUUCAACUUUACUUAGGAUAUUCACUCCAAGGAUAGGAAAAUCACAUACAAUUUUCCGCAUUUACCCCGCUGAAUUAAUUGCCUAACUGUUUAAUGAUUUUUUAGGAGGGCCAAGAAAAAGACGCAAAAGCAUAGCUUGCUCCUUGAUUCCAGUUUCUGCAGCCACCAUUGAUAAGCAUGGGACUGAGCAAAUGAGUAUCAAAAGGAAGU